CCCUUAGAUGUCCUGGGCCGCACGCGCGCUACACUGACGGAGCCAGCGAGCUUUUCCUUAACCGAGAGGUUUGGGUAAUCUUGUGAAACUCCGUCGUGCUGGGGAUAGAGCAUUGUAAUUAUUGCUCUUCAACGAGGAAUUCCUAGUAAGCGCAAGUCAUCAGCUUGCGUUGAUUACGUCCCUGCCCUUUGUACACACCGCCCGUCGCUAGUACCGAUUGAAUGGCUUAGUGAGGCUUCAGGAUUUGCUUAGAUCGAGGGGCAACUCUCUUUCAGAGCGGAGAAUCUAGUCAAACUUGGUCAUUUAGAGGAACUAAAAGUCGUAACA
This 327-nucleotide ribosomal RNA is filed under the name uncultured eukaryote. RNAcentral's name for it is "partial 18S ribosomal RNA". It matches the Rfam family "Eukaryotic small subunit ribosomal RNA", at positions 1470 to 1796 of the family's 1831-position model. The record is from RNAcentral.